This 897-nucleotide long non-coding RNA is filed under the name Capsicum annuum. RNAcentral describes it as "long non-coding RNA (CANN_LNC018551)". The record is from RNAcentral. Lineage: Eukaryota; Viridiplantae; Streptophyta; Magnoliopsida; Solanales; Solanaceae.
UCCACAUCUAUUUUUUUUUUAAAACAAAAGUUUAUUUUAAAAAGGCUCAAUAACUUGACAAAAAUUAAAGCAGAUCUACGCAUAUUUUUCUCUUGACUUGAAAAAGAAAAGGGCGCUGUUUUUUAAGCCAUGAUGGCUGGUUGUAGGAAAGAGGACGGUGACGCUAAUGGCUUCGUAGGUGAGAUGGUUGGUUGUAGGAAAGAGGACGGUGACGCUAAUGGCUUCGUAGGUGAGAUCUAAAUGGGAAAAAUGGAGAGAGGAUGGCGGCGGUGACCGGUGAACGUGGGUUCACCAAAAGGAAAGGAGAAAUAGAAGUGGUAUUGGUUGGUUCCCGAUGAUUUUUGCUGUUUUUGAGAGGAAUUUUCUGGCGGUUUGACCAGGCAGCCCGCUGGGUUGGUUAUCGGCGAGUUUCGUCGAUGGUGUUGGUGAUGGGAAAGGGGAAGGGGUAGCUGGCGAUGGUACGGUGGUCACAGGAGUGGUGGUUAACUGUUUUGAGGGUAGGGAAGGUCGGAACAAUGAUGGGAAAAUGGAGAUCUGCUCUAGUUUCAGGCAACAAUGCCUUUCCCGACAAAGAUUCGCCGGAGCAGUCCCCGGCGUUUCACUUUUCCCUCUUCACUCAAAUUUCAUAUUUUUGAUUUUCAUUUUUUUAGCAAGAUGGAUAUACCGGAUUUAAUGACGAAAUGGUAAUUCCGGCAAAGUUUCGCCGGAAGUUCAGAAUUAUGCGAACUAAUUUGGCUCUCGUUAAUCUCUGAUUUUUCUAUUUCCACGUAGUAUGUAUGGUGUAUAAAUAAAAUGGAGGCCUAUGUACACAAAUGUGUGUAACAGUGUAUGUGAAAGUCUUAUAUUCUUAGUGAUGGAUGAAAGUGUAUGUGAACGUGUGCAUUAUUGGUGAAUGUG